AUACAGAGGGUGCGAGCGUUAAUCGGAAUUACUGGGCGUAAAGGGCGCGUAGGUGGUUAGGUCAGUCGGAUGUGAAAGCCCCGGGCUCAACUCGGGAAUUGCAUUCGAUACUGCCUGGCUUGAGUAUGGUAGAGGGAAGUGGAAUUCCGGGUGUAGCGGUGAAAUGCGUAGAUAUCCGGAGGAACACCAGUGGCGAAGGCGGCUUCCUGGACCAAUACUGACACUGAGGCGCGAAAGCGUGGGGAGCAAACAGGAUUAGAAACCCGAGUAGUCC
This 274-nucleotide ribosomal RNA is filed under the name uncultured bacterium. RNAcentral's name for it is "partial 16S ribosomal RNA". It matches the Rfam family "Bacterial small subunit ribosomal RNA", at positions 523 to 796 of the family's 1533-position model. The record is from RNAcentral.